UGGGGCCCCAGGGCAGGGUGCCCAGAUCCAGCGCUGGGCUGGGCUGGCCACCCAGCCUCUGAUUUGCAGCCCCGCUGCAGGGUGGCUUUAUCUCCACACAGAGUCCCAGCUCCCAGGGGAGCCCCCGGGAUGGUGCCCACCCAGCUGCGGACCUGGGGCUCUUGGGCUCUCUGAAUUCACCAGUUUCUCCUUCUCCUCUUCUUGCAGGACCUGUGAGGCUUUGGGCACUGCCUCUGCUCUCCCAUCAGCUCUUUAAGAGUUUGAUUAACUUCAGGAUGACACUGCUAAAAGCACGGCAAGGCCUUGCAGCCAAGAGGGAGCUCCUGUCUCAGAGAACCUCUUGGCAAAGGUUUUUAGGUAAUACACAUCCAACCGUGUCUGUCACAUUCUGCCUUUGCUAAUCUAAGAGUGACUUUAAAAACCCCCAUGCCAAGAGAAGGCCACACGCAGGAAGUUACGAGCCAUGGCCCCACUCUCCCUGGCACUUCUCCCACUGCACACUUUUGUACAGCCCCACUCCACUCACUUUGUGAAAGUCCUAGAACAUUAAACCGAGCAAUGUUACCU
Long non-coding RNA from Cyanistes caeruleus (blue tit), 567 nucleotides. RefSeq lists it as uncharacterized. NCBI's taxonomy places the organism in Eukaryota, Metazoa, Chordata, Aves, Passeriformes, Paridae. The record is from RefSeq and is a predicted model, not a curated record.